Molecule: ribosomal RNA, 872 nt
Filed under: Paragyromitra xinjiangensis
Lineage: Eukaryota; Fungi; Ascomycota; Pezizomycetes; Pezizales; Discinaceae
Description: Gyromitra xinjiangensis partial 28S ribosomal RNA
Rfam family: Eukaryotic large subunit ribosomal RNA
Source: RNAcentral
UUGCCUCAGUAACGGCGAGUGAAGCGGCAACAGCUCAAAUUUUAAAGCUGGCGUCUUUGACGCCCGCGUUGUAAUUUGGAGAGGCAUCUUCGGUUCGGGCGCCAGCCUAUGUUCCUUGGAACAGGACGUCACAGAGGGUGAGAAUCCCGUGCUUGGCUGGCUGUCCCUUUCCAUGUGAAGUGCCUUCGACGAGUCGAGUUGUUUGGGAAUGCAGCUCAAAAUGGGUGGUAAAUUCCAUCUAAAGCUAAAUAUUGGCGGGAGACCGAUAGCGCACAAGUAGAGUGAUCGAAAGAUGAAAAGCACUUUGAAAAUAGAGUUAAAAAGUACGUGAAAUUGUUGAAAGGGAAGCGCUUGAGACCAGACUCGGCCGCAGAUGAUCAGCCGUCCUUCUGGGCGGUGCACUUGUCUCCGGUCGGGCCAGCAUCGGUUGAGACGGCGGGAUAAAGGCCCGGGGAAUGUGGCUCCUUUCGGGGAGUGUUAUAGCCCCGGGCGCAAUGCCGCCAGCCUCGACCGAGGACCGCGCUUUUUGCUAGGAUGCUGGCGUAAUGGUCUUCAGCGACCCGUCUUGAAACACGGACCAAGGAGUCUAACAUCUAUGCGAGUGUUUGGGUGUCAAACCCUUGCGCGUAAUGAAAGUGAACGGAGGUGGGAACCCCUUCGCGGGGCGCACCAUCGACCGGUCCUGAUGUCUUCGGAUGGAUCUGAGUAGGAGCAUAGCUGUUGGGACCCGAAAGAUGGUGAACUAUGCCUGAAUAGGGUGAAGCCAGAGGAAACUCUGGUGGAGGCUCGCAGCGGUUCUGACGUGCAAAUCGAUCGUCAAAUUUGGGUAUAGGGGCGAAAGACUAAUCGAACCAUCUAGUAGCUGGUUCCUG